CCUACGGGGGGCUGCAGUAAGGAAUAUUGCGCAAUGGGCGACAGCCUGACGCAGCGACGCCGCGUGGGGGAUGAAGGUCUUCGGAUUGUAAACCCCUUUCGGCAGGGAAGAUGGAACGGGUAACCGUUCGGACGGUACCUGCAGAAGCAGCCACGGCUAACUUCGUGCCAGCAGCCGCGGUAAUACGAAGGUGGCAAGCGUUGUUCGGAUGGACUGGCAGGGAGCGGAGCGUAGGGGGUAGGGUAAGCCCGAAAUCUCCGGGCCUAACCCGGAAAGUGCGGAGGGGACUGCUCGGCUAGAGGAUGGGAGAGGAGCGCGGAAUUCCCGGUGUAGCGGUGAAAUGCGUAGAGAUCGGGAGGAAGGCCGGUGGCGAAGGCGGCGCUCUGGAACAUUUCUGACGCUGAGGCUCGAAAGCGUGGGGAGCAAACAGGAUUAGAUACCCUUGUAGUC
This 450-nucleotide ribosomal RNA is filed under the name uncultured bacterium. RNAcentral describes it as "partial 16S ribosomal RNA". It matches the Rfam family "Bacterial small subunit ribosomal RNA", at positions 338 to 795 of the family's 1533-position model. The record is from RNAcentral.